UCCUAAAUUCUUGUGAUUAAUUAGUUAAGCUUUGUUUAAGGUACUUAAAGAAAGAAAAAUGAUAUACAUGAAAUUGUGAAACAAGAAAUAAUACAUGGCAACCUACAUCUGCAUGUCCCUCAUCUGUCUUCCAUCGAUCCCAUCUCCGUUUCGAUCUGCAGUUACUAUUGACUACGGUUUGUUGCGGUCCACCAACGGGAAGGUGUGUAGAAUUUUGGUGUUCAAACUAGUUUGGGUAGCCACACCAUCACAUUCUCUCUGUCUACCUUUUCUAGCAGUGUUGCUUGUGGUAAUCCUAUAGACUUCUUUAGUUUUUCUCACUUGGUGGUCGCAAUCUACGAGAUACUAUCUGAUGGAGGACGGAGUCUGUUAAGCCCAUUUACUGGAGCCCACUACUUCCCUCCUUGCAACCGGCCCAUAUCAGUCCCUUUAUCCUCAUAACUAAGUAACUAGGGUUCUCCCUUACCAGGAGUAUAAAUAUGUAAUAGAGAGGAAGAACAGGAUAUGAAUGAAAUGAAUUAAACUGCCUCUUUUCCUCAAAACUCUCUGUUUCCUUCUUGCUCUUCCUAUUUCCUGCACUAUUUCCUGUUCAAGUUACCAUUCUAGCUAAUCUGAGCCGAUUGGGUGUACCAAUUGGUAUCAGAGCCCGUCGACCGAUGGGCAAAAACACGUAAGCCGCUAGCUCUGAUCUCGAUGUUGUGGCCG
Molecule: long non-coding RNA, 705 nt
Filed under: Malus domestica (apple)
Lineage: Eukaryota; Viridiplantae; Streptophyta; Magnoliopsida; Rosales; Rosaceae
Description: long non-coding RNA (MDOM_LNC010979)
Source: RNAcentral